AAAAUGUUUUCUUUAAUAGAAUUUUGUCUUUAUAAAGAGUAGACCUAAGUUGAGGUUGAAACGUUGCUGUGUCCUCCCAUAAAUCUACGUUAUUGACACACUUUGAGUGCCUGGACCAUCCUGUCCUUUCUACUACUGACCAAGGUCCAGCCAGCCUCAGAUCCAGUUAAGCCCCUUGUUUGUGAAGGGAGUCCGGGAGACCUUGUAUGUCUAGAGUACAAUUUUUUUCUUUAGUGAAUAAUCCCAAUGGACUUUAUGCAUAUCAGGCCAUGCUACCCAACAAAUCAUAGCUCAGACAUAAAGGGGGAAAAAUCUACAGAAGGGACUAGGAUAUAUUGUGUAUCCUGCCAAUAUAUAUUGUGUAUCCUUAUGUUGAGUGUCUCAUGGAGUCAAUGAUGGCUAAAAAAAUAUUUAAAGAAAAUGGUACUACC
Molecule: non-coding RNA, 431 nt
Organism: Pelobates cultripes (western spadefoot toad)
Lineage: Eukaryota; Metazoa; Chordata; Amphibia; Anura; Pelobatidae
Source: the annotation of a GenBank genome assembly